UAGGUAUCUUAAAAAAGGGAAAAAAGAAGACCUAUUUUCAUGGGCAAAUGGAUUUCAAUCCCAAUCACAACAUGGUCCUAGACGUUCCGUGAAGUGUGAGGCAGUGGCUGCCCGCGUUGUGUAACGUGCUGUUCGUAUGUAUCGCAAUAACAAAUUCUUGUACACUUUAAAAUUCAGUUUUUCACCAUUCCAUUAAAAUUUCAAUGCAAUUCUUCCAUUUAAAUUUCUAUCUUUUUGUUAUUUCCUCGCAUAAUUUCACAAUCCUUUAAAUUCCUCUAAACCAAAUCAAAACCCCAAAUGCAAUAAUCAGGUACGAUUGAAGUUUGCUUUACCUUACUGGUUUCUUUCUGAUGUUGCAUUUCUACUCGUGCAAUUUAACAUUGCAACGCACAAUGGACAAUCGGAUAGUGUUUCCGCUGAUCACGCUUUCAUGAUUUUCGUUUUCGAAUUUCAUUCUGGAUUGAUUUUGCAUCGUUGUUUUCUUUGAUGUAAAUGACUUCGUUUUCGCUGUGAAUUGUAAUUGGGAUUUCGAAUUAGUCUGUGUUCUAUGUAAUUAUUGUUUGAUCGAGGAAACUAUCGGUUAAUUUUUCGCAAAACGUUAUCCCAGAUGAAGAACACACUUCUUCAGUAUAAGUUGUAGUUACGUUGAUAAUCAGAUGGAUCUCAUUCUUAAAGUAUUUUCGUUAUUCAGUUCGAUUUGGAAUUACAAGACUUGUUAUUCUUCAGUCUAUCUAUUUAUUUUUGAAUCUGCAGUGAAAGGGGGAAGGGUCCUGGAAAUAUGACCUCACUUUAAUGUUUGAAACAAAUGUUGAACAUUUUGAAUCACUAAUAUGUAAUGUCUUAUGAAAUCAUUUUUUUUAACGCAAUUUAUGUAAUUCGAGUAAACUCCCAAGCAUAUUCAAAUUUUUGCUCCUUUUUUUUUUUUUGUGUGUGUGUGUGUGUGUGUCCUGAAACAAUUUGACUAAGGUGCUGGUAGUGUUUCAAAUUUUAUAAUAGUUGUGUAGGUGUUAAAUCAAAGAUGGUGAAGUUGACAAUGAUUGCCCGUGUUACUGACGGCCUUCCUCUUGCUGAGGGACUAGAUGAUGGUCGUGAUUUGAGAGAUGCUGAGUAUUACAAGCAGCAAGCCAAAGCGUUGUUUAAGAACUUAUCAAGAGGACAGAAUGAGCCUUCCAGGAUGUCCAUUGAAACCGGCUCUUAUGUCUUUCAUUAUAUAAUUGAAGGGCGUGUUUGUUAUCUGACAAUGUGUGACCGUGCGUACCCAAAAAAACUUGCUUUCCAGUACCUUGAAGACCUUAAGAAUGAAUUCGAGCAUGUUAAUGGGGCUCACAUUGAAACUGCUGCUAGGCCAUAUGCAUUUAUCAAGUUUGAUACAUUCAUACAGAAAAUGAAGAAGCUGUACCAGGAUACCCGUACCCAGAGGAAUAUUGCAAAAUUAAAUGAUGAACUCUAUGAAGUGCACCAAAUAAUGACUCGAAAUGUUCAGGAAGUUCUUGGUGUUGGUGAAAAGUUGGAUCAUUUAAGUGAAGAGUCCUGCUUCCUUAUUUUGUUCAGUUUCUGAUGAAUAUAAUUCCGUUAAGCACAUGAAGUUUUAUUUCUUUGUGCCUGGAGUUCUACUAUAGUGAGAAACAAUAUGCUUUGGUAUUCUCUUAUAAUUACAAAUUCUGCAGAGGUUAGUGAAAUGUCCAGUCGAUUAACAUCAGAAUCUCGCAUUUAUGCUGACAAGGCAAAAGAUUUGAAUCGACAGGCUUUGAUUCAGAAGUGGGCUCCUGUAGCUAUCGUGCUUGGAGUCGUUAUUCUCUUAUUCUGGGUGAAAUC
This is a non-coding RNA of Benincasa hispida (wax gourd), 1815 nucleotides long. Lineage: Eukaryota; Viridiplantae; Streptophyta; Magnoliopsida; Cucurbitales; Cucurbitaceae. The record is from RefSeq and is a predicted model, not a curated record.